This 142-nucleotide unclassified non-coding RNA is filed under the name Flavobacterium fryxellicola. Its description in RNAcentral is "Flavo-1 RNA". The record is from RNAcentral. Lineage: Bacteria; Pseudomonadati; Bacteroidota; Flavobacteriia; Flavobacteriales; Flavobacteriaceae.
AAUUAGCCCAGAUCGAAGUGAAAAGCCCAGACUGCAAAAAAAUAAUUUUUCUUGUCCUGAAAGAGCGACCAACGGGAGCUCCUUUCAGGAUAUAGAAAAUGUUUUUUUAAGGGAGGACUUGAAGCGGAGUGCUGGAUUAGCU